ACCUGGCAUACAAUGUAGAUU
RNAcentral lists this non-coding RNA (21 nucleotides) under Capra hircus (goat). Its record names the gene chi-miR-221-5p. The record is from miRBase by way of RNAcentral. Lineage: Eukaryota; Metazoa; Chordata; Mammalia; Artiodactyla; Bovidae. RNAcentral also lists the same sequence under 1 other name.